AGAAAUUAAACUGAAGAGUUUGAUCCUGGCUCAGAUUGAACGCUGGCGGAAUGCUUUACACAUGCAAGUCGAACGGCAGCACGGGAGCUUGCUCCUGGUGGCG
This 103-nucleotide ribosomal RNA is filed under the name Methylophilales bacterium 16-45-7. Its description in RNAcentral is "partial 16S ribosomal RNA". It matches the Rfam family "Bacterial small subunit ribosomal RNA", at positions 1 to 95 of the family's 1533-position model. Lineage: Bacteria; Pseudomonadati; Pseudomonadota; Betaproteobacteria; Nitrosomonadales. RNAcentral also lists the same sequence under 1 other name. The record is from RNAcentral.